GAUGAACGCUGGCGGCGUGCCUAAUACAUGCAAGUCGAGCGAACGGACUAGAAGCUUGCUUCUCUGAUGUUAGCGGCGGACGGGUGAGUAACACGUGGAUAACCUACCUAUAAGACUGGGAUAACUUCGGGAAACCGGAGCUAAUACCGGAUAAUAUCUUGAACCGCAUGGUUCAAGAUUGAAAGAUGGUCUUGCUGUCCCUUAUAAAUGGAUCCGCGCGUCAUUAGCUAGUUGGUAAGGUAACGGCUUACCAGGGCAACGAUGCAUAGCCGACCUGAGAGGGUGAUCGGCAACACUGGAACUGAGACACGGUCCAGACUCCUACGGGGGGCAGCAUAAGGGAAUCUUCAGAAAUGGGCGAAAGCCUAACGGAGCACCGCGGCGUGAUGGAUGAAGGUCUUCGGAUCGUAAACCUCUGUUAUUAGGGAAGAACAUAUGUGUAAGUAAAUGCGCACAUCUUGACGGUACCUAAUCAGAAAGCCACGGCUAACUACGUG
RNAcentral lists this ribosomal RNA (497 nucleotides) under uncultured bacterium. RNAcentral describes it as "partial 16S ribosomal RNA". It matches the Rfam family "Bacterial small subunit ribosomal RNA", at positions 28 to 507 of the family's 1533-position model. The record is from RNAcentral.